Molecule: non-coding RNA, 567 nt
Organism: Epinephelus lanceolatus (giant grouper)
Lineage: Eukaryota; Metazoa; Chordata; Actinopteri; Perciformes; Serranidae
Source: RefSeq, a predicted model, not a curated record
UUAAUACUUUUCUUUUAUGGUAUUUUUAUACUUUCCCCAUCUUUCAUGAUGAAUGAGUCAAACAGCGCCCCCAUGUGUCAGUGGUCAAACGGGAUAUUACACCCUGUCUGAACUCAACGCCAGGUGAAAGUUGCAUCUGUUAAUUAAAAUACAGUGAAGUGUCAAACAAUUCAAGGCGCCCUCUUUAAAGACACUCCGACACUGUUGACGGACACGUCGCAGUGCGGAGAGUCAUCCUUGAUGUACCAGCUUUUAUUGGUCCGUACCACAUCGACAGAGUGUCCUCGAGAGUGGAGAGCUUUGAUCAUGAUGUCCAUGUUCACCCAGUGGCUUCCCUCCAAAGGAACGAUCAAAAUCUUCCCUCCAUGACAGAUUCUCCACGACAACAACACGAUAGAUAAUAAGCGAAGAAAAGCAGCAUUUCCUCCAGGGGUCAUCUUUAACCUUUGAACUGUGGCUCUUAGAGGAUACUGCCACUGUGGUCAGGGACGAUGAUGCUGGCCCAUUUGUAAAUAACCGGGAUGAAGAGGAGAGCAGAGCCCAGGAUGGACACCAGCAGGAAGGCCC